RNAcentral lists this ribosomal RNA (254 nucleotides) under uncultured bacterium. RNAcentral's name for it is "partial 16S ribosomal RNA". It matches the Rfam family "Bacterial small subunit ribosomal RNA", at positions 793 to 1050 of the family's 1533-position model. The record is from RNAcentral.
GUCCACGCCGUAAACGAUGAUUACUAGGUGUUCGGUCUUAUAGGCUGAGUGCCCAAGCGAAAGCGAUAAGUAAUCCACCUGGGGAGUACGUUGGCAACAAUGAAACUCAAAGGAAUUGACGGGGGCCCGCACAAGCGGUGGAGCAUGUGGUUUAAUUCGAUGAUACGCGAGGAACCUUACCUGGGCUAUAAUGCCUCUGCUAUCUGCCGAAAGGUGGAGUUUCUUCGGAACAGAGUGCAAGGUGCUGCAUGGUU